GGGGGCGAUUCGGAUUCGACGCCGGUAUCAACUCCUGGGGUGCAUGCCGAGAGGGUAGUAACUCUCGUUAAUCAAUUACUGCAACUGAAUAGUUGCCAACGACAGAGAAUACGCUCUAGCCGCCUGAUCGCGGCUAGCGAUUGCCGACGGGAUGCCCGUAAACCGCCGAUUGCAAUCGUCGUAUAGAACGGGAUCGCAGCAAUACGCGCCUGGCGUUGCGCUGUUA
RNAcentral lists this transfer-messenger RNA (226 nucleotides) under Gammaproteobacteria bacterium. RNAcentral describes it as "partial transfer-messenger RNA". It matches the Rfam family "transfer-messenger RNA", at positions 1 to 235 of the family's 374-position model. Rfam says of the family: Bacterial tmRNA, also known as 10Sa RNA or SsrA, is named for its dual tRNA and mRNA-like properties. Its role is to liberate the mRNA from a stalled ribosome. Lineage: Bacteria; Pseudomonadati; Pseudomonadota; Gammaproteobacteria. The record is from RNAcentral.